Molecule: ribosomal RNA, 702 nt
Filed under: uncultured bacterium
Lineage: Bacteria
Description: bacterial SSU rRNA
Rfam family: Bacterial small subunit ribosomal RNA
Source: RNAcentral
CACUUUUUUAGAACUCUUCGGAGGGAAGAGAGGGUGACUCAUCGGCGGACGGGUGAGUAACGCGUGGGCAACCUGCCUUACACAGGGGGAUAACAAUUAGAAAUGAUUGCUAAUACCGCAUAAGACCACAGCAUUGCAUGAUGCAGUGGUAAAAACUGAGGUGGUGUAAGAUGGGCCCGCGUCUGAUUAGGUAGUUGGUGGGGUAGAAGCCUACCAAGCCGACGAUCAGUAGCCGACCUGAGAGGGCGACCGGCCACAUUGGGACUGAGACACGGCCCAAACUCCUACGGGAGGCAGCAGUGGGGAAUAUUGCACAAUGGGGGAAACCCUGAUGCAGCGACGCCGCGUGAGUGAGGAAGUAUUUCGGUAUGUAAAGCUCUAUCAGCAGGGAAGAAAAUGACGGUACCUGACUAAGAAGCCCCGGCUAACUACGUGCCAGCAGCCGCGGUAAUACGUAGGGGGCAAGCGUUAUCCGGAUUUACUGGGUGUAAAGGGAGCGUAGACGGAAUUGCAAGUCUGAUGUGAAAAUCCGGGGCCCAACCCCGGAACUGCAUUGGAAACUGUAUUUCUAGAGUGUCGGAGAGGCAAGUGGAAUUCCUGGUGUAGCGGUGAAAUGCGUAGAUAUCAGGAGGAACACCAGUGGCGAAGGCGGCUUGCUGGACGAUGACUGACGUUGAGGCUCGAAAGCGUGGGGAGCAAACA